This 468-nucleotide ribosomal RNA is filed under the name uncultured bacterium. RNAcentral's name for it is "partial 16S ribosomal RNA". It matches the Rfam family "Bacterial small subunit ribosomal RNA", at positions 28 to 507 of the family's 1533-position model. The record is from RNAcentral.
GACGAACGCUGGCGGCGUGCUUAACACAUGCAAGUCGAACGGAAAGGCCCUGCUUUUGUGGGGUGCUCGAGUGGCGAACGGGUGAGUAACACGUGAGUAACCUGCCCUUGACUUUGGGAUAACUUCAGGAAACUGGGGCUAAUACCGGAUAGGAGCUCCUGCUGCAUGGUGGGGGUUGGAAAGUUUCGGCGGUUGGGGAUGGACUCGCGGCUUAUCAGCUUGUUGGUGGGGUAGUGGCUUACCAAGGCUUUGACGGGUAGCCGGCCUGAGAGGGUGACCGGCCACAUUGGGACUGAGGUAAGGACCAGCCUCGAACGGGAGGCAACGGUGGGGAGUAUUAUACAGUGGUAGGGAGCCUGAUGCGACAACGCCGGGUGCGGGAAGACGGCCUUGGGGUUGUGAACCGCAGCCGCCUGUGACGAAGCGUGAGUGACGGUAAUGGGAGAAGAAGCACCGGCUAACUACGUG